Molecule: long non-coding RNA, 1249 nt
Organism: Apus apus (common swift)
Lineage: Eukaryota; Metazoa; Chordata; Aves; Apodiformes; Apodidae
Exons: 4
Source: RefSeq, a predicted model, not a curated record
CAUAUUAAUACCUACACCUGCCCAUGCUGACACACGCACAGGGGCACACACACCUGUAACCUACCUGCAGCACAUCUCACCUGAGCAGCACUGUCAGCACUUGCAGCAGAAGCUGAAGGCAGAAUAAGAAGAUGCUGUUUCAACAGGCCGAUACUGCAGGCUCAGCUGCAGUUCUGUUUGCUUUCAUUGAACCACAGAUUCAAGAGAAGGACAAAAAGAGACCAAAGCUAUCCAAAUUCUGAAGCCUGCUGAAAUUAUCCUUCUCUGCCUGAACCAGAACAAGCAGUUCCACCUGAGGUAUCUAAAGAUUUUUGCUCUUGUGCAUGGCUUCCUAGGAGAAAAAGAAGUGCGUGGUAUAUUAGAUAAACAGGUGCCUCUGCUCUGGAAAUUGCUUGUAUAAGUGAAUUGUUGCAUCCUAUGAGAGCAAGCACAGAAGCAAAGACAAUUCAAGAAGUCCAAGUGAUAUCUGUGGUGACAAGAUGUUUUAAUGCUCUUCUGUGAAACCUUGAGAACUAGAAAUUAACUUAAUUGUUCAAUGAAACCUGUGAUUCUUCUAUUCCCAUUUCUCAGGAAACAGUGUUAAGAAAAAUAAAUAUUAUGGUAAUAAAGAAAAAAAAAAUUAUGGUGACACUGACAUGUAUUGUGUAUCUAUUCUACCUAGUUGAUUUCUGAAAAGGCAAAGUAAUAUUUCUUUCUGCCCUAGAAAACUUGGAACUUAGAGGAAGCAGAAUGGAGUCCUAGGAAUUAGAAUAUGGGGAAAAAAUAUAUAAAAUUUAAGCUUGUGGUCUUUUCACAAGCUAAUCAGCCCAAACUAGUUGUUUAGAACCACACACUUACUCAGACUUCUCCCAGCAUCACUCGUCUGCCCUUGCCAGAAAUCCCACCAAAACUUAGGGUAGAGGCAACAAUCAAAGAAUCCAUUUCUUGUUAUCAGCAGUUAAUGAUUGCAACUUAAAAUGUCUUCACAGAUAUGCUUUCAAAAUCCUCCCUUGUGCUCCUGGCAUGAGAGGAGGAGCUGCCCUGCCUCAUCCUCAGGCAUACUUGGGGCACAGCUGUGCCCUGAGCCAGGCCUGCUCCACUGUGGCCCCUCAGCCUGAGAGCAUAGGCACCACCACCCAAAGCACACAAAUAGGUAUUAAAUGCAUAGUAAUUUUGGCCAAGUUAAAUCUGAUUAUCUUGUGCCACCUCUCACAAAAUAUUAACACAGUUUUCCAGAAAUUAAAAGCUUGCAGAGUCAGUCCUGAUAUAA